This 497-nucleotide ribosomal RNA is filed under the name uncultured bacterium. RNAcentral's name for it is "partial 16S ribosomal RNA". It matches the Rfam family "Bacterial small subunit ribosomal RNA", at positions 28 to 507 of the family's 1533-position model. The record is from RNAcentral.
GAUGAACGCUGGCGGCGUGCCUAAUACAUGCAAGUCGAGCGAACGGACGAGAAGCUUGCUUCUCUGAUGUUAGCGGCGGACGGGUGAGUAACACGUGGAUAACCUACCUAUAAGACUGGGAUAACUUCGGGAAACCGGAGCUAAUACCGGAUAAUAUUUUGAACCGCAUGGUUCAAAAGUGAAAGACGGUCUUGCUGUCACUUAUAGAUGGAUCCGCGCUGCAUUAGCUAGUUGGUAAGGUAACGGCUUACCAAGGCAACGAUGCAUAGCCGACCUGAGAGGGUAAUCAGCCACACUGGAACUGAGACACGGUCCAGACUCCUACGGGAAGCAGCAGUAGGGAAUCUUCCACAAUGGGCGAAAGCCUGACGGAGCAACACCGCAUGAGUGAUGAAGGUCUUCGGAUCGUAAAACUCUGUUAUUAGGGAAGAACAUAUGUGUAAGUAACUGUGCACAUCUUGACGGUACCUAAUCAGAAAGCCACGGCUAACUACGUG